AUACAGAGGGUGCGAGCGUUAAUCGGAAUUACUGGGCGUAAAGCGCGCGUAGGCGGUUAUUUAAGUCGGAUGUGAAAUCCCUGGGCUCAACCUAGGAACUGCAUCUGAAACUGGAUAACUAGAGUUUAGGAGAGGGGAGUAGAAUUUCGGGUGUAGCGGUGAAAUGCAUAGAGAUCCGAAGGAAUACCAGUGGCGAAGGCGACUCCCUGGCCUAGAACUGACGCUGAGGUGCGAAAGCGUGGGUAGCAAACGGGAUUAGAAACCCUAGUAGUCC
RNAcentral lists this ribosomal RNA (274 nucleotides) under uncultured bacterium. Its description in RNAcentral is "partial 16S ribosomal RNA". It matches the Rfam family "Bacterial small subunit ribosomal RNA", at positions 523 to 796 of the family's 1533-position model. The record is from RNAcentral.